AAACACGGACCAAGGAGUGCAAGAGGCGCGCUAGUCCAGGGUCGCGGGGUCGGCCACCGGCCUUCCCGCAUCGUGAGACCCUCGGAAGGAGGCGCAGUGAGAGCGAGCCGCCGGACCGAUGCGGUCCGGGCUGCGCGAGAGCCGUUUCCCGUGGGUUGCGGCGCAUCGCGGACCGAGCCGUGUGACCGCGCUGCGGUCGGCUUCGAGUGGGAGCGUGCCUGUUGCGACCCGAAAGAUGGUGAACUAUGCCCGAGGAGGGCGAAGCCAGAGGAAACUCUGGUGGAGGCCCGCAGCGGUUCUGACGUGCAAAUCGAUCGUCGCACUUGGGUAUAGGGGCGAAAGACUAAUCGAACCGUCUAGUAGCUGGUUCCCUCCGAAGUUUCCCUCAGGAUAGCUGGAGCCGUGCGGGCAGUUUCGUCGGGUAAAGCGAAUGAUUAGAGGCAUCGGGGUCGAAAGGAUCUCGACCUAUUCUCAAACUUUGAAUCGGCGAGUGCGGUGCGUGUCCUUGCCGGCGGGAAGGACGACCGUCCGCGGAAUGCAGUGGCUCCCAGUGGGCCGUUUUUGGUAAGCAGAACCGGCGAUGCGGGAUGAACCGAACGUCGGGCUAAGGCGCCGGAGUCGACGCUGACCCAGACACCAUGAAAGGUGUUGGUUGAUCUAGACAGCAG
RNAcentral lists this ribosomal RNA (668 nucleotides) under Oceanapia sp. B GPM-2011. Its description in RNAcentral is "eukaryotic LSU rRNA". It matches the Rfam family "Eukaryotic large subunit ribosomal RNA", at positions 657 to 1243 of the family's 3401-position model. The record is from RNAcentral. Lineage: Eukaryota; Metazoa; Porifera; Demospongiae; Haplosclerida; Phloeodictyidae.